GGCAUGGAAGAUGAAGAAAGGAGGGUGUUGGUGAAGGGAAAGAAACUGUUUCUCCUCGAAAGGCCCAGGUUGCAUCUAAAAAUUUUUCUAUUCAUCUACAUAUUAAGGAUCAAAUUCUUAUCUGAUUAGCAGUAAAAUCAUAGAUUAAAUCUCAAAUAAUCUGAUAUAAACUUUUAUAGAGGCCUAGAUGUGCAGACCCUCUACUUCGCAUGCACGUCAGAUGCCGCAGGAAAGU
This 235-nucleotide long non-coding RNA is filed under the name Elaeis guineensis (African oil palm). RNAcentral's name for it is "long non-coding RNA (EGUI_LNC042667)". Lineage: Eukaryota; Viridiplantae; Streptophyta; Magnoliopsida; Arecales; Arecaceae. The record is from RNAcentral.